RNAcentral lists this transfer RNA (66 nucleotides) under Lewinella sp. RNAcentral's name for it is "tRNA-Ala". The record is from RNAcentral. Lineage: Bacteria; Pseudomonadati; Bacteroidota; Saprospiria; Saprospirales; Lewinellaceae.
AGCUCAGCUGGCUAGAGCGUCCCGAUAGCAUCGGGAAGGUCGUCACUUCGACUCCGAUAUCCUCCA